GUGAAUCAUCAAAUUUUUGAACGCAAAUUGCACUCUCCUCGGAGAGUAUGCCUGUUUGAGGGUCAGCCUAAAAAAAAAAUCGACAUCGUUGCUGUUUCGCGGUGACGUUAGUCGGAAAUUGGGUCAUAUUAAACCUUUUGGUUUUUAAACGAUUUAAAAUUUUUUUUUGACCCUAUGAACGUUUCUAAGUUUUAUAUUUUUACACACUUAA
RNAcentral lists this unclassified non-coding RNA (211 nucleotides) under Glomus sp. RNAcentral's name for it is "partial contains 5.8S ribosomal RNA and internal transcribed spacer 2". The stretch from base 1 to 65 matches the Rfam family "5.8S ribosomal RNA", at positions 84 to 154 of the family's 154-position model. Lineage: Eukaryota; Fungi; Glomeromycota; Glomeromycetes; Glomerales; Glomeraceae. The record is from RNAcentral.